UACGGAGGGGGCUAGCGUUGUUCGGAAUUACUGGGCGUAAAGCGUACGUAGGCGGCUUUGUAAGUUAGAGGUGAAAGCCCGGGGCUCAACUCCGGAAUUGCCUUUAAGAUUGCAUCGCUUGAAUCAUGGAGAGGUGAGUGGAAUUCCGAGUGUAGAGGUGAAAUUCGUAGAUAUUCGGAAGAACACCAGUGGCGAAGGCGACUCACUGGACAUGUAUUGACGCUGAGGUACGAAAGCGUGGGGAGCAAACAGG
RNAcentral lists this ribosomal RNA (253 nucleotides) under uncultured bacterium. RNAcentral's name for it is "partial 16S ribosomal RNA". It matches the Rfam family "Bacterial small subunit ribosomal RNA", at positions 524 to 776 of the family's 1533-position model. The record is from RNAcentral.